GAUGAACGCUGGCGGCGUGCUUAACACAUGCAAGUCGAACGAAGACAUCUGAGUGCUUGCACUUGGGUGGACUGAGUGGCGGACGGGUGAGUAACGCGUGGGUAACCUGCCUUAUACAGGGGGAUAACAGUUGGAAACGACUGCUAAUACCGCAUAAGCGCACGGUAUCGCAUGAUACAGUGUGAAAAACUCCGGUGGUAUAAGAUGGACCCGCGUCUGAUUAGCUUGUUGGUGAGGUAACGGCCCACCAAGGCGACGAUCAGUAGCCGGCCUGAGAGGGUGAACGGCCACAUUGGGACUGAGACACGGCCCAAAACUCCUACGGGGAGGCAGCAGUGGGGAAUAUUGCACAAUGGGGGAAACCCUGAUGCAGCGACGCCGCGUGAGUGAUGAAGUAUUUCGGUAUGUAAAACUCUAUCAGCAGGGAAGAUAAUGACGGUACCUGACUAAGAAGCACCGGCUAAAUACGUGCCAGCAGCCG
RNAcentral lists this ribosomal RNA (481 nucleotides) under uncultured bacterium. RNAcentral describes it as "bacterial SSU rRNA". It matches the Rfam family "Bacterial small subunit ribosomal RNA", at positions 28 to 517 of the family's 1533-position model. The record is from RNAcentral.